This 253-nucleotide ribosomal RNA is filed under the name uncultured bacterium. Its description in RNAcentral is "partial 16S ribosomal RNA". It matches the Rfam family "Bacterial small subunit ribosomal RNA", at positions 524 to 776 of the family's 1533-position model. The record is from RNAcentral.
UACGAAGGGGGCUAGCGUUGUUCGGAAUCACUGGGCGGAAAGCGCACGUAGGCGGGUCCUUAAGUCGGGCGUGAAAUGCCGGGGCUCAACCCCGGGACUGCGUCCGAUACUUCCGAGCUGGAGGUAGGUAGGGGAGAUCGGAAUUCCUGGUGUAGCGGUGAAAUGCGUAGAUAUCCGGAGGAACACCGGUGGCGAAGGCGGCUUCCUGGACCGACACUGACGCUGAGGCGCGAAAGCUAGGGGAGCAAACGGG